Molecule: ribosomal RNA, 261 nt
Filed under: uncultured bacterium
Lineage: Bacteria
Description: partial 16S ribosomal RNA
Rfam family: Bacterial small subunit ribosomal RNA
Source: RNAcentral
AACGAACGCUGGCGGCAUGCUUAACACAUGCAAGUCGAACGCUCUGGCUUCGGCCAGGGAGUGGCGCACGGGUGAGUAGCGCGUGGGAACCUGCCCUGUUGUGGGGGAUAACCGAUGGAAACGUCGGCUAAUACCGCAUAAGCCCGGGAAACCGGGGAAAGAUUUAUCGCGACAGGAGGGGCCCGCGUCGGAUUAGCUAGUUGGUGGGGUAACGGCCUACCAAGGCUUUGAUCCGUAGCUGGUCNGAGAGGAUGAUCAGCC